ACAGAGGGUGCAAGCGUUAAUCGGAAUUACUGGGCGUAAAGCGCACGUAGGUGGUUUGGCAAGUUGGAUGUGAAAGCCCUGGGCUUAACCUGGGAACUGCAUUCAAUACUACCAGGCUAGAGUAGGGUAGAGGGAAGUGGAAUUUCCGGUGUAGCGGUGAAAUGCGUAGAUAUCUGAAGGAACAUCAGUGGCGAAAGCGACUUCCUGGACCAAUACUGACGCUCAUGUGCGAAAGCGUGGGGAGCAAACAGGA
This 253-nucleotide ribosomal RNA is filed under the name uncultured prokaryote. RNAcentral describes it as "partial 16S ribosomal RNA". It matches the Rfam family "Bacterial small subunit ribosomal RNA", at positions 525 to 777 of the family's 1533-position model. The record is from RNAcentral.